AAAAGCUUUCUUUAAUUGAAUAAUUGAAUUUAAUUUUUUAGUGCAAAAGCAAAAAUAAAAAUUAGGGACAAGAAGACCCUAUGAAUUUUUUAUUAAAUUUUAUAAAACUUUAUAUAAAAUUUAAUUUAAUUGGGGUGAUGGAAAAAGAAUAAAUAUCUUUUUUUUUAAAAAAAAUUGGUUCCGUUUUUAGCGAUUAAAUGAAAAAAAAACUCUAGGGAUAACAGCGUAAUAAUUUUGGAUAGUUCAUAUAGAUAAAAUAGUUUGCGACCUCGAUGUUGGAUUAGGAUUCUUUUUUGGUGAAGAAGUUAAAAAAAGAAGUUUGUUCAACUUAUAAUUUCCUACUUGAUCUGAGUUCAGACCGG
Molecule: ribosomal RNA, 362 nt
Filed under: Ixodes ricinus (castor bean tick)
Lineage: Eukaryota; Metazoa; Arthropoda; Arachnida; Ixodida; Ixodidae
Description: partial 16S ribosomal RNA
Rfam family: Bacterial large subunit ribosomal RNA (bases 217-362)
Source: RNAcentral